UUUCUUUAAGAUUUAUUCCAAAUUUUCCAUUCAACUUUCUUUCAAAAUUUUUGUAAAUUCACUAUUCAAUUUUUAAUAUAUCCAUAACUAUUAUUAUUUUAUUUUAUUGUAUUUUCAAAAACUGGGGUGUUACAUGUGAUAAUGAAGAUGCUGCAUACUGGGUUGUGUUGGGCUUGGCUAAUCCCAUGGUUUAGCUAUGUCAUGACUAAAUUUUGUUCAUAUCGCAGAAUAUGCAUACACAUUGAAGGUG
Molecule: unclassified non-coding RNA, 250 nt
Filed under: Hevea brasiliensis (rubber tree)
Lineage: Eukaryota; Viridiplantae; Streptophyta; Magnoliopsida; Malpighiales; Euphorbiaceae
Source: RNAcentral